Macrosteles quadrilineatus (aster leafhopper) is the source of this 2954-nucleotide long non-coding RNA. RefSeq lists it as uncharacterized. NCBI's taxonomy places the organism in Eukaryota, Metazoa, Arthropoda, Insecta, Hemiptera, Cicadellidae. The record is from RefSeq and is a predicted model, not a curated record. The transcript is spliced from 3 exons.
GGCGCAGUGUACCCGUGUUAGGGCGGAGGCUAGCUCGUCCCGGCCGUAGCGCCUAGUCAACUAAACAGGGUCAAGACGGUACAGGUGGCAGUAAUGGCAGUGGGGGGCCGAGUGGCAGGGAAGGGCGGGGUAGUGUCCAGGGUUGGUCAAGGACAUGGCGUUGCCAGGAUCAACGAGGACAUAAUCCUGGUGACGCUGGUGGUGGGAGCCAUCAUCCUGGUCCUGAUAUCCCUAGCGCUCUGCUACAUCCUGAGGGAAGAGUGCCAGAAGAGGAAGGGAGUCUGGGUGUCUCCCUGACGAAGAGCUUGUCCCUUUAUACCCUCGGGAUCUUCCAAGGAAUACUACAUUGACGUCUGACUGAAGCGAUGAGUGGCUUGUAAAUAGCACAAUGUAUAAUACUUGUAAAAACUACACAUUACAGUAGGGUCCCGAUGGUCUGAAUUUCUUAUAAUCUGAUAAUCCAUCUUAAAACAAAAUCAGCAUGUUUUAGGGGUACAAAACUGACAUAUCUAGUUUAUAAAUAGAGGAUUAAUAGUUAGGCUUACUGAAAAUGUAUAUAAUUAUAUAAUUUCAAGAUAGACCGUGUAAUGAACGAAAUAGCACAAUGUUGAAUGUUAGUUUGCUAGAAAUGACCACGUAGUUUAAUUAAUUGCUCGAAUAUACUGGCAAAUGUGUUAAUCGUGCUGUGACACUUGCACCAAUCCUUUUUUUGUGACCAACAACAAUACAACUUAAGCCUCAUUGAGUUUAGUUGAUAUAAAUAUUGUCCUGAAGGUAGAUUAGUGCGAAUCUGAAAUGGUGAUGAACAUUUUUGCAAGUUCAACAAGAUGGUCGUCUACCGAAUACAGAAAUUUGGAAGUCUAAUAUAAAAUCCUACAUAAUAUUUGGAAAUAAAGUAAAUACAAAAACUUCAAAUGAGGCGUCGAGAGGCCAAGGGAGAUAUGUGACUUUUAAAAAAAUGUUGUCAUGGUAACGGGUUUUGUUAAAAAAAGGGUGGAAUUUCAACAAAUAAUUCACUUAUAUCCCUUGGCCUCCAAACUAAACACCUAAGAGCUGGAAGCCAAGGGGUAUAAGUGAAUUUAUUUUUAUUUUUAUUUUAUUUUUUAUGACUAUGAAAAAAAUACAAUGACAUUUUUUAAAAAGUCACAUAUCUCCCUUGGCCUCUCGACGCCUCAAAUACACUUGAAACAUACACGUACAAUGAUGAAGAAGUUAUUUAUUAUUGUUUUAAAUUGCAAAUUAUUUUAGUGUUCAAAAUCAUUAAAAUGUCAUGAUAGUUUGAGUAAUCUUUCAUCAACUCGUCCACAAUUUGUCUUUUCACUGUGCCAUGUGCCAUUUUAUGUUAUGUACGUUGUAGUUCAUACCAUCGGGACUCCACUGUACUUGAAUCGAAGUUGUAUACCUACAUAAAAAAAAUUACUUACAACAUUUAAAAAUUAUAGUUAUGUGAAUUAUUAUGUAAAUGUUUAGAGAAUGUAUCCAAACGUACCAUCCUUUAAAACUACUAAGACUUUUAUCAUCAAUCCCGUCCGUUAAGAAAAUUGAUAUUUUUAUGUUCAAUGUCAACCUACUUAACUUAUUUCUUUAAAAUGUAAUGAUUACAAAUUUAUAGUCCAAGGGAAUGUAAAACAUAGAUUCAUGGUCAAUUAUUAACUAUCAUUGUUGAAGGUUUCUACGAAACUUAAAUUCACAUAUGUAUACGUUAAAACAUUGUUAACUUAAAUUAUUUAUUGUAUAGAUAUUAAGAGGAGAAUUGUAAUAUUAAUUUAUGUAAUGACGAUUGCUGGUAUAAAUUAUAAAGUGAAUUGUUAUAACUAAAUAGAUCGCCGAUGGAUGCCGCUUGUGCAAUUAAAGAACACUGUAUUGCAUUAUUAAUCAUAAUUUACAUUUUAAUCGGGUAUACAAUGUGAUGUAAAUUGUUCAGUAAACCAUUUGUGUAAAAUUCACAUUUUCAACAUAAAAAUAGGUAUGUAAAAUUAUAUUUAUACAUGUUUAUAAUUUGUGUUACUGUGUUUUGGUUACUCUAAUGAAUCUUUUAUUUGUUAUAUGUUUUGGACAAAAUAGUUAGUAAAUACAGAUGGUACUUGUUUAUCCUAAAAGCUAAAAGUAAUAACAGUUAACUCGGAAUUGAAAUUAUGGUAGAUUUAAUGUAUACCAGUCUAUAUUAAUUCAAAACCUCUAAUUUAAUAUCACAAAUUUGUCUUUAUAAACCUAGAGUAUCCGUUGUUUAUUCCAAGCCAUAUAUUAUGUCUUCCUCCAAAGUGUCAUAUUAAUCUUGAAACAUUUUUGACAACACCAUGUAAAUAUAUAUAAUGCAGGGCUUCUUUAAACACUUAUCAAUAUAAUUUAAUUUAUACUGAACAUGUUUACAAAACAUAUAUACCAAACAUGUAUAAAAUAUUUGUGUACAAAUAUAUAUUUAACAUAUAGUAAAUAAAUGCAAAAUGCAUAAAUAAAUAGUUGUACUUACAAUAUACAAUAUAAUAUAUACAAAAAGUCGCGCCCCUGCUUUGUUGCUUUACAAAUACAAUUUGGUCACAGGUAAUUUUGGAAUCAGAUUCAAAAGUUUCUAAUGACGACCGAUGGAACUGGUUAAAUUCUAUAUCCAUUGAAACACAACAUAAUAUGGUAAAAAUGUACAGUACAAAGGUAAAUUAUAUUGAGUAGUGUUGAACGGCAUCUUGUAUUAAACAGCACAAAAAACAAUAUUAUGCAUUUUAAAAACUCAUUGAUUAUACCUAUUUGCACUGCCAGCGCAGAGCCCAUUUUUAAUAUGAAUAACUCAAUACAACUUUACUUGCAUUUAAUCUGGCAUAUAGAAAAUAUGAAUUUAAUGUGUCUUUACAUAUUUUAUCGUUCUACUCUAAUCUGUGAUUAACUUAGGUGAUUGUUCCUCCUGUAGUUAUAGUGGAGAAAGUGUAUUUUAUGUACGUAAAUAUAUUAAAUGCACAAUA